AUAUGGUGCUCCAUGUGGCCUCAAGGAGGAAAGGGGGAGUGGAGGAAAGCAAUCUAUGGCUCCAGUUUGUUUUGGUUUUGUGUCCUAAAUUAGUCUAAUGCUUAAAAUAUUUUAUUCACUACAUCAGAGGAUCAGCUCUGUUUUCUGAUUGUUCCCACAGGAUUCAGUGUGGCCCAGAAAGUGACUCAAGUCCGGCCAGUCACAUCUGGUCAGGAGGGAGGAGCAGUCACCCUGGACUGUUUGUAUGAAAUGAGUUGGAUGUGGAGUGCAGACGCUUUAUUUGGUACAAAGAACUUCCCAGUGGAAAGAUGAUGCUCCUUAUUCGUCAGAGCUCUUCUGGUGCAAAUAGAAGAGAAGGUCGCUAUUCUGUCCAGUUCAGGAGAGCAGAUAAAUCCAUCAAGCUUACCAUUUCACCCUUACAGCAGGAAGACUCAGCAAAGUAUUUCUGUGCUCUGAGAGAACUCACAGUGUUUAAAUUG
Molecule: long non-coding RNA, 479 nt
Filed under: Marmota monax (woodchuck)
Lineage: Eukaryota; Metazoa; Chordata; Mammalia; Rodentia; Sciuridae
Source: RNAcentral